This is a long non-coding RNA of Pogona vitticeps (central bearded dragon), 2805 nucleotides long. Lineage: Eukaryota; Metazoa; Chordata; Lepidosauria; Squamata; Agamidae. The record is from Ensembl.
AUGGGUUCUAAGUAUCAUCUCUUUAGGUUACCAUCUAGAGUUCACGGAAUAUCCUCCUCUAGGACGGACAGAGUAUACUACAUUCGACCCUGUCCUAGAGGAGGAGGUUCAUUCUUUAUUGCAAAAAGGUGCCAUUCAAAAGGUACCAAAAAGGGACAUUGCAAACGGCUUCUAUUCAAGAUAUUUUGCAGUCACCAAAAAGGAUGGAGGGAUGAGACCCAUCCUCGACCUCAGACAACUGAAUACUUACCUGCGCCCUCGCCGCUUCCGGAUGGUCACGUUGGAAUCCAUUAUGCACCUAUUAAAAGAAAACAAUUGGUUUAUAGUCAUCGAUUUAAAAGACGCUUACUUUCAUAUCACGAUUCACCCCGAUCAUCGCAAAUUCCUCCGGUUCAUCUUUCAGGACACUAUCUGUCAGUACCUUGCCCUCCCGUUCGGGUUGGCAACAGCACCCCGUACUUUUACGAAAUGUAUGGCCCCGGUGGCGGCCUACCUCAGGCUCAACGGAGUGCAUGUUUUCCCCUACAUAGACGACUGGCUAGUGGUCUCGACCUCCAGGAAAAAGGCUAUACAAGACACAGAGUUCACCCUUCAUGUCCUAAACAUUUUGGGCCUGCAGGUGAACUACAAGAAGUCACAUCUCACGCCUUCCAGGGUGGUGAAUUAUAUCGGUGCCACAAUAGAUGCCCGCAAGGGAAGAAUCUUCCUCCCAAUGGACAGAAUUGUCAAGAUCCAAAGAGCAAUAACGAAGUUUCGACCGAACCACACAGUGUCAGCCAAACUUGCUCAACAUCUGCUGGGGCUUAUGUCAUCAACCACCCCAGCAUUAGCUCAUGCUCGUCUCAAGCUGAGGUCCCUGCAAGCUUGGCUCCUGUCUCUAUUCAGCCCUCUUCACGACCAUCACAAGAAGCGUCUUCUUGUUACACCGGAACUAGCCUUGCAACUUCAAUGGUGGAACUACGUACCGCACCUACAGGUCGGUCGGCCCUUUCGUCCCCUCCGUCUCACUAUCCAAGUCACAACAGACGCCAGCCCCACCGGCUGGGGGGCACAUUGUGGUCCGCAUCGUGUCCAUGCCCUUUGGUCACCGCGACAGCGGGCACUACAUAUCAAUCAUUUAGAGAUACUAGCUGUUUUCAAGGCGCUCAAAGCUUUCCUUCCCCUGGUGCGAGGUCGUGGAGUCCAAAUUGUCACGGACAACACCACGGCACUCCACUACAUAAACAAACAGGGAGGCACGCGUUCCCAGUCCUUGCUGUUCCUGACAGUAACUCUAUGGGAAUGGUGCUACAAGCAGCACGUAUUUCUGAGAGCAAUCCACGUAUCAACCACCGAAAACAUGGUUGCAGACGAACUGAGCCGAACCAUGAACCAGAUGCACGAAUGGGAGCUAAACAACUCAGUCUUCCGUCAGCUUUGCCAUCAAUGGGGCAAUCCCGAAAUAGACCUGUUUGCCACUCAACAGAAUGCCAAAUGUCCUCUCUACGCAUCCAGAGCAGGAAGGGGACAGAACUCAAUAGGGGAUGCCUUCAUGGUCUCAUGGAGGAACCGUCUGCUUUACCUGUUUCCUCCAUUUCCGCUAAUUCAAAAAACGUUGGUACAACUACGGUAUCAUUCAGCGGAGGCGAUCCUAGUUACACCUUUAUGGCCUCGCCAGCCGUGGUUUCCGACUCUCAUGGGCAUGGCAAUAGACUCUAUGAAACUGCCCAACUUUCCAACCUUACUUACACAGGAUGCAGGCAAGAUCUGUCACCCAGAUUUGAACACACUGCACCUCACGGCGUGGAGGAUAUCCCCGAGAUCAAAGAGAUAUUAGACAAUUCCAAAAAACCGGCCACCUCCACGUUAUAUUCUCAUAAAUGGAAAAGUUUCCUUAAGUUUACAGAGUCCAGAGGACUUCAGGCCUCGCCAGCGUCUCUUUCCACUACGUUACAGUUCCUUCGUCACUUGUUUGAUUUCAAGUUAUCAGUCUCUACGUUGAAAGUCUACUUAGCCGCUAUUGUUUCAUUCCAGCCCAGGGACUCUCCUUCCUCUCGAUUCUUUUCUCAUCCCACGGUUAAAGCCUUUCUCAGAGGAAUUACACACCUGCGUCCACCGGUGAAGCCUAUAGUACCCCAGUGGUCCUUACAUAUGGUUCUCAACGCGCUAAUGCACCCUCCUUUUGAACCUCUGGCUACCUGCUCACUUAAACUGUUGUCUCUUGAAGUUUUGUUUCUCGUUGCCAUCACAUCUGCCCGUAGAGCCAGUGAGUUGGCUGCAUUAAGAGCCGACCAACCUUUCCUCCAAUUUUUCAAGGAUAAGGUCAUUCUGCAUACCGAUAUUUCCUUUCUUCCCAAGGUCGUUUCUGAGUUUCACUUGAAUCAACCAUUAAUACUUCCUACAUUAUUCUCUCAGCCUACCAACGAUACCGAACGCAUGCUCCAUACCCUCGAUGUCAGGAGGGCACUUUCCUUUUAUGUUGCCCGUACCAAGGAAUUUCGCUUAUCUCCAAAGCUUUUCCUCUGUUAUUUUGGACGUAAAAAGGGCCUUCCGGUCUCUCCUUCCUCAAUAUCCCGAUGGCUGGUUACUACAAUAUCUUUAGCCUAUCAGCUUCAGCAGCAAUCCCCUCCUGAUGGCCUUCGCGCACAUUCCACCAGGGCAGUGGCUUCUUCAACAGCACUCUUACGAGGGAUUGAUUUAUCUGACAUAUGCAGGACAGCGACAUGGUCCAGAGUGUCCACAUUCAUCUCUCAUUACCGGCUGGACACGAGAGCUAAAAGAGAAACAAGGUUUGGUAGAGCUGUCCUAGCAUCUGCCCUUCAGUGA